UAGGUGACUUACACAGUGUCCUUGGU
This 26-nucleotide non-coding RNA is filed under the name Homo sapiens (human). Lineage: Eukaryota; Metazoa; Chordata; Mammalia; Primates; Hominidae. The record is from RNAcentral.